UGGGGAAUAUUGCACAAUGGGCGCAAGCCUGAUGCAGCGAUGCCGCGUGAGGGAAGAAGGUUUUCGGAUUGUAAACCUCUGUCAUCAGGGAUGAAAAAAGACGGUACCUGAGAAGGAAGCUCCGGCUAACUACGUGCCGGCAGCCGCGGUAAUACGUAGGGAGCAAGCGUUAUCCGGAAUUACUGGGUGUAAAGGGAGUGUAGGCGGGACUGUAAGUCAGAUGUGAAAUAUGCCGGCUCAACUGGCAGACUGCAUUUGAAACUGUGGUUCUUGAGUGAAGUAGAGGUAAGCGGAAUUCCUGGUGUAGCGGUGAAAUGCGUAGAUAUCAGGAGGAACAUCAGUGGCGAAGGCGGCUUACUGGGCUUUAACUGACGCUGAGGCUCGAAAGCGCGGGGAGCAAACAGGAUUAGAUACCCUGGUAGU
Molecule: ribosomal RNA, 423 nt
Filed under: uncultured Ruminococcus sp.
Lineage: Bacteria; Bacillati; Bacillota; Clostridia; Eubacteriales; Oscillospiraceae
Description: bacterial SSU rRNA
Rfam family: Bacterial small subunit ribosomal RNA
Source: RNAcentral